CAGUAGCCACGGGAAUACGAAGGGUGCAAGCGUUACUCGGAAUUACUGGGCGUAAAGCGUGCGUAGGUGGUGGUUUAAGUCCGUUGUGAAAGCCCUGGGCUCAACCUGGGAAUUGCAGUGGAUACUGGGUCACUAGAGUGUGGUAGAGGAUAGUGGAAUUUCCGGUGUAGCAGUGAAAUGCGUAGAGAUCGGAAGGAACAUCUGUGGCGAAGGCGACUAUCUGGGCCAACACUGACACUGAGGCACGAAAGCGUGGGGAGCAAACAGGAUUAGAUACCCGAGUAGUCCCUGUCUCUUAUAA
Molecule: ribosomal RNA, 301 nt
Filed under: uncultured bacterium
Lineage: Bacteria
Description: partial 16S ribosomal RNA
Rfam family: Bacterial small subunit ribosomal RNA
Source: RNAcentral